AACCUGUUGAUCCUGCCAGUAGUCAUACGCUUGUCUCAAGAUUAAGCCAUGCAUGUCUAAGUAUAACAAUUUGUACUGUGAACUGCGAAUGCUCAUUAUAUCAGUUAUAGUCUACUUGGCAGUACCUUACUACUUGGAUACCGUAGUAAUUCUAGAGCUAAUACAUGCGUAAAUCCCAAUGCUUGUCGGACGGUAGCAUUUAUAGAUUGAAUCUCAGCUCGGUCGGUAUUGUGUUGAAUCAUAUAACUGUGCGGAUCUCAGUCACCUCUAAGUCAAUUGAGUUUCUGCCCUAUCAGCUUGGAUGGUAGGAUAUGGGCUGGUACGGUUAACGGUACGGGAUAGGUUGAUUCCGGAGAGGAGCCUUAGAAACCACAUCCAAGGGAAGGCAGCAGCGCGUAAAAUCUGAGACUGCCAAGGUAGUGACAACAAAAUAAAUAACAGUCUGGCAAUUGGAAUGAGAACAAUUUAAGAUCAAUUGGAGGGGGAGGGCAAGUACUGGUGCCUGGUGCCAGCAGCCGCGGUCGUAUAUUAAAGUUGCAGUUAAAAAACGCUGGAUUUCGUGGGUCGAGUUUAUCUACUAGUGGAUGUCGUUUGGGCCCAGUUUAGUGAGGGGCGGGGCGCUUCUGCCGGUGGUUGUGUCGACUUGAGGACUUUGCAUCGUGUUUAAAGCAGAAAGCAGGCGUUUGCUCAUUGAAUACAUUAGCAUGUGGUCUAUUUUGUUCCUUGGUGGUCUUAAUGAUUAAUAGGGACAAUAGGACAGUUGGGGUGUAUUCAUAUUUAAUUCUUGGAUCGUUGAUCGUUGAAGAUGAGCUUAGGCUUAGGCGAAAGCAUUUAUGUUUCAUUAAUCAAGAACGAAGUUAGGGAUCGAAGAUGAUUAGAUACCAUCGUAGUCUUAACCAUAACUCGGGAUUGGCAGUCGUUAGUCGUUAUUUGAAUGACCUUGUCAGCACGUAUGAAAGUUCGUUUCGGGUCGGGGAGUAUGGCUGAAACUUAAAGGAAUUGACGGAAAGGGGGCACCACCAGGAGUGGAGCGGCUUAAUUGACUCAACACUUACCAGGUCCAGACAUAGUAAAGUAGGAUUGACAGAUUGAGAGCUUUUUUCUAUGGGUGGCUUAGUUGGUGGAGUGAUUUGUCUGGUUAAUUCUGGUUAAUCCGUUAACGACGAGUGCUAAAUAGUUCUGCUUACUUACCAAUUGGUAGGUAUGGACUUCUUAGAGGGACUUCAGUGACUAACUGAAGGAAGUUGAGGCAAUACAGGUCUGUGAUGCCCUUAGAUGUCUGGCCGCACGCGCGCUACACUGAUACGCUCACGAGUAUCUUGAUCGAUAGGUCUGGGUAAUCCUUUUGAAUACGUAUAGGGAUAGAUUAUUAUUGCAAUUAUAAUCUUGAGGGAAAUUCCUAGUAAACGCAAGUCAUCAGCUGCAUUGAUCGUCCCUUUGUACACCGCCCGUCGACACCUUGGGACUGUGUGAAUGUGUGCUUUCAUUGCAUGCAAGUUUGUGGCAUGCUCCUUCGCCAUUUUAGUAACCUCGCCAUUCGUAACAAGGUGCGGAAGGAUGAAGGAUCGAUUCCACAUUAC
RNAcentral lists this ribosomal RNA (1580 nucleotides) under Saprolegnia parasitica CBS 223.65. RNAcentral's name for it is "18S ribosomal RNA". It matches the Rfam family "Eukaryotic small subunit ribosomal RNA". Lineage: Eukaryota; Oomycota; Saprolegniomycetes; Saprolegniales; Saprolegniaceae. The record is from RNAcentral.